GUGCUUACUCUGGUACCAUGUAGACUAAAAUGGGACCUAUACAGAGAAGAUUAGCAUGGGCCCUGUGCAAGGGUGAUAUGCAAAUUUGUGAGGGCUUCUUUAUAUUU
Molecule: small nuclear RNA, 107 nt
Organism: Mustela putorius furo (domestic ferret)
Lineage: Eukaryota; Metazoa; Chordata; Mammalia; Carnivora; Mustelidae
Source: Ensembl